UAAAGCGCGCGCAGGCGGUUUCUUAAGUCUGAUGUGAAAGCCCCCGGCUCAACCGGGGAGGGUCAUUGGAAACUGGGGAACUUGAGUGCAGAAGAGGAGAGUGGAAUUCCACGUGUAGCGGUGAAAUGCGUAGAGAUGUGGAGGAACACCAGUGGCGAAGGCGACUCUCUGGUCUGUAACUGACGCUGAGGCGCGAAAGCGUGGGGAGCGAACAGGAUUAGAUACCCUGGUAGUCCACGCCGUAAACGAUGAGUGCUAAGUGUUAGAGGGUUUCCGCCCUUUAGUGCUGCAGCAAACGCAUUAAGCACUCCGCCUGGGGAGUACGGUCGCAAGACUGAAACUCAAAGGAAUUGACGGGGGCCCGCACAAGCGGUGGAGCAUGUGGUUUAAUUCGAAGCAACGCGAAGAACCUUACCAGGUCUUGACAUCCUCUGACAACCCUAGAGAUAGGGCUUCCCCUUCGGGGGCAGAGUGACAGGUGGUGCAUGGUUGUCGUCAGCUCGUGUCGUGAGAUGUUGGGUUAAGUCCCGCAACGAGCGCAACCCUUGAUCUUAGUUGCCAGCAUUCAGUUGGGCACUCUAAGGUGACUGCCGGUGACAAACCGGAGGAAGGUGGGGAUGACGUCAAAUCAUCAUGCCCCUUAUGACCUGGGCUACACACGUGCUACAAUGGGCAGAACAAAGGGCAGAGAAGCCGAGAGG
This 701-nucleotide ribosomal RNA is filed under the name Bacillus licheniformis. Its description in RNAcentral is "bacterial SSU rRNA". It matches the Rfam family "Bacterial small subunit ribosomal RNA", at positions 561 to 1262 of the family's 1533-position model. Lineage: Bacteria; Bacillati; Bacillota; Bacilli; Caryophanales; Bacillaceae. The record is from RNAcentral.